Coffea eugenioides is the source of this 749-nucleotide long non-coding RNA. RefSeq lists it as uncharacterized. The transcript is spliced from 4 exons. Lineage: Eukaryota; Viridiplantae; Streptophyta; Magnoliopsida; Gentianales; Rubiaceae. The record is from RefSeq and is a predicted model, not a curated record.
UUAGAAGAAGUCGUCUUCGGCCCCUCCAAACUUCAUUCGCUUGCUUUGUAGUUCCAGAUCUUCAUCAAGUCAAGAAACCCCAGUUGCAAACAAUAAAUACCGCACUUGUACGGUUUACUCCAGGAUUGACCGAUACUUUAACCAAUACGGCAUGCCUGUGCAAUUUACUCACUACUAUUCCAGAUUUUUCAGAUAGAAUUAGAGUUUAUAAAGCACUUGGAACUCUGUGCAGAAAGUGCAGAAAGCAUUAUUGCAGUCGGAUGUCCAUGCAAAAUCUGAUAAAAGUCCUGUAACAGUAGCUGUGUAGCACUUGGUGUAUGAUAAAAUUAGCGACGAGGUAUGUUAUAAACGGUAAUGACUUUUACAAAUAAUCCCACGAUUGAAUUUAUUACAGGGUAGUGGAGAGAGGUUUUCUCCAAUUAAAUGAAGCAGAGCCUGGUCUACUUGAACAAGAACUUAAACUAACUGCUUGUAGAGUAACAUCUGUGCAGUGUCUUGUUCUUUAAAGGAGGUGAGAUUAUUGUAUACUUGUUGUAGCAAAUUAGUGACCCCGUCAAAUUUCUUGGAAGGCGCUGAAUAUUAGAUGAGAAUGAUAUUAAGAAGCAAGAGGAAAAGCUAGAGGCAGGUCUGCAAGGAGGAGGAAAGUGGUGGUGCCUUGGUGUUUCAAUGUUGAAGCUGAUGGCUUGGUUCCUUUGUUUUGUGUUUUUGAAAUCCACAAUUGGUUGAAUUCUUGUCUUACCUUUGAAACU